UGGCAAGCAUAAGGGACGAAGACGGGGAAACAUGUCGGAUGCGAUCAUACCAGCACUAAAGCACCGGAUCCCAUCAGAACUCCGAAGUUAAGCGUGCUUGGACGAGAGUAGUACUAGGAUGGGUGACCUCCUGGGAAGUCCUCGUGUUGCAUUCCUUUUAUAAUUAUUUUUUGCGCCUUGUGACAAACAUGUCGCACGUGCGCGAUAUAUAUUAAUCCCGUUAUAUUAUGUUUGACGUUUGCGAUAUGUUUAAGCUCGAUGCUCAUUGCUCGCGCGUCUUGGGGCGGCUUUGUGGCGCGAAGAGCGCGUUCUGAAAGGGGUGGAAAAAACUCGUGUUGCUGCGGUAUGGAGGGAGGGGUGGAAACCGUGGAAAACUCGUCUCCGUGAUUGAGCGGGAGAGUAAGUAGUAUAGGACAUUAUCCAUUGUUAGGGAACGGUUGUAAUGGUAGUGAGAAUGUAGAAUCGUCUUUGGAGCGGACCUGGGAGUGGCAAGCAUAAGGGACGAAGACGGGGAAACAUGUCGGAUGCGAUCAUAGCAGCACUAAAGCACCGGAUCCCAUCAGAACUCCGAAGUUAAGCGUGCUUGGGCGAGAGUAGUACUAGGAUGGGUGACCUCCUGGGAAGUCCUCGUGUUGCAUUCCUUUUAUAAUUAUUUUUUGCGCCUUGUGACAAACAUGUCGCACGUGCGCGAUAUAUAUUAAUCCCGUUAUAUUAUGUUUGACGUUUGCGAUAUGUUUAAGCUCGAUGCUCAUUACUCGCGCGUCUUGGGGCGGCUUUGUGGCGCGAAGAGCGCGUUCUGAAAGGGGUGGAAAAAACUCGUGUUGCUGCGGUAUGGAGGGAGGGGUGGAAACCGUGGAAAACUCGUCUCCGUGAUUGAGCGGGGGAGUAAGUAGUAUAGGACAUUAUCCAUUGUUAGGGAACGGUUGUAAUGGUAGUGGGAAUGUAGAAUCGUCUUUGGAGCGGACCUGGGAGUGGCAAGCAUAAGGGACGAAGACGGGGAAACAUGUCGGAUGCGAUCAUACCAGCACUAAAGCACCGGAUCCCAUCAGAACUCCGAAGUUAAGCGUGCUUGGGCGAGAGUAAUACUAGGAUGGGUGACCUCCUGGGAAGUCCUCGUGUUGCAUUCCUUUUAUAAUUAUUUUUUGCGCCUUGUGACAAACAUGUCGCACGUGCGCGAUAUAUAUUAAUCCCGUUAUAUUAUGUUUGACGUUUGCGAUAUGUUUAAGCUCGAUGCUCAUUGCUCGCGCGUCUUGGGGCGGCUUUGUGGCGCGAAGAGCGCGUUCUGAAAGGGGUGGAAAAAACUCGUGUUGCUGCGGUAUGGAGGGAGGGGUGGAAACCGUGGAAAACUCGUCUCCGUGAUUGAGCGGGAGAGUAAGUAGUAUAGGACAUUAUCCAUUGUUAGGGAACGGUUGUAAUGGUAGUGAGAAUGUAGAAUCGUCUUUGGAGCGGACCUGGGAGUGGCAAGCAUAAGGGACGAAGACGGGGAAACAUGUCGGAUGCGAUCAUACCAGCACUAAUGCACUGGAUCCCAUCAGAACUCCGAAGUUAAGCGUGCUUGGGCGAGAGUAGUACUAGGAUGGGUGACCUCCUGGGAAGUCCUCGUGUUGCAUUCCUUUUAUAAUUAUUUUUUGCGCCUUGUGACAAACAUGUCGCACGUGCGCGAUAUAUAUUAAUCCCGUUAUAUUAUGUUUGACGUUUGCGAUAUGUUUAAGCUCGAUGCUCAUUGCUCGCGCGUCUUGGGGCGGCUUUGUGGCGCGAAGAGCGCGUUCUGAAAGGGGUGGAAAAAACUCGUGUUGCUGCGGUAUGGAGGGAGGGGUGGAAACCGUGGAAAACUCGUCUCCGUGAUUGAGCGGGAGAGUAAGUAGUAUAGGACAUUAUCCAUUGUUAGGGAACGGUUGUAAUGGUAGUGAGAAUGUAGAAUCGUCUGUGGAGCGGACCUGGGAGUGGCAAGCAUAAGGGACGAAGACGGGGAAACAUGUCGGAUGCGAUCAUACCAGCACUAAAGCACCGGAUCCCAUCAGAACUCCGAAGUUAAGCGUGCUUGGGCGAGAGUAGUACUAGGAUGGGUGACCUCCUGGGAAGUCCUCGUGUUGCAUUCCUUUUAUAAUUAUUUUUUGCGCCUUGUGACAAA
RNAcentral lists this long non-coding RNA (2131 nucleotides) under Triticum aestivum (bread wheat). The record is from RNAcentral. Lineage: Eukaryota; Viridiplantae; Streptophyta; Magnoliopsida; Poales; Poaceae.